This 253-nucleotide ribosomal RNA is filed under the name uncultured bacterium. RNAcentral's name for it is "partial 16S ribosomal RNA". It matches the Rfam family "Bacterial small subunit ribosomal RNA", at positions 524 to 776 of the family's 1533-position model. The record is from RNAcentral.
UACAGAGGGGGCAAGCGUUGUUCGGAAUUACUGGGCGUAAAGAGCGCGCAGGCGGUCGUUCAAGUCGAGUGUGAAAGCCCCCGGCUCAACUGGGGAGGGUCACUCGAUACUGAUCGACUUGAAGGCAGGAGAGGGAAGCGGAAUUCCCGGUGUAGUGGUGAAAUGCGUAGAUAUCGGGAGGAACACCAGUGGCGAAGGCGGCUUCCUGGCCUGUUCUUGACGCUGAGGCGCGAAAGCUAGGGGAGCAAACGGG